This 249-nucleotide ribosomal RNA is filed under the name uncultured Hyphomicrobiales bacterium. Its description in RNAcentral is "uncultured Rhizobiales bacterium partial 16S ribosomal RNA". It matches the Rfam family "Bacterial small subunit ribosomal RNA", at positions 355 to 621 of the family's 1533-position model. Lineage: Bacteria; Pseudomonadati; Pseudomonadota; Alphaproteobacteria; Hyphomicrobiales. The record is from RNAcentral.
UGGGGAAUAUUGGACAAUGGGCGCAAGCCUGAUCCAGCCAUGCCGCGUGAGUGAUGAAGGCCUUAGGGUUGUAAAGCUCUUUUACCUGGGAAGAUAAUGACGGUACCAGGAGAAUAAGCCCCGGCUAACUUCGUGCCAGCAGCCGCGGUAAUACGAAGGGGGCUAGCGUUGUUCGGAUUUACUGGGCGUAAAGCGCACGUAGGCGGAUUUUUAAGUCAGAGGUGAAAUCCCAAGGCUCAACCUUGGAAC